This 1449-nucleotide ribosomal RNA is filed under the name uncultured bacterium. Its description in RNAcentral is "bacterial SSU rRNA". It matches the Rfam family "Bacterial small subunit ribosomal RNA". The record is from RNAcentral.
GACGCUAGCGGCAGGCUUAACACAUGCAAGUCGAGGGGCAGCGCGAUGAAGUAGCAAUACGGAAUUGGCGGCGACCGGCGCAAGGGUGCGUAACGCGUGAGCAACAUGCCCGUAUCUGGGACAUAACCGGUGGAAACGCCGACUAAUUUCCCAUAACACUGGUUCAGGCAUCUGGAUUAGUUGAAAGAUUCGUCGGAUACGGAUUGGUUCGCGUGAUAUUAGCUAGUUGGCGGGGUAACGGCCCACCAAGGCGACGAUAUCUAGGGGUUCUGAGAGGAAGGUCCCCCACAUUGGAACUGAGACACGGUCCAAACUCCUACGGGAGGCAGCAGUGAGGAAUAUUGGUCAAUGGACGGAAGUCUGAACCAGCCAUGCCGCGUGAAGGAAUAAGGUCCUAUGGAUUGUAAACUUCUUUUGUACGGGAGCAAUAAAGCCCACGUGUGGGUUGAUGAGAGUACCGUACGAAUAAGCAUCGGCUAACUCCGUGCCAGCAGCCGCGGUAAUACGGAGGAUGCAAGCGUUAUCCGGAUUUAUUGGGUUUAAAGGGUGCGUAGGCGGUAUGGUAAGUCAGUGGUGAAAUGUCUCCGCUCAACGGAGAACGUGCCAUUGAUACUGUCGUACUGGAAUUCUGAUGCCGUGGGAGGAAUGUGUAGUGUAGCGGUGAAAUGCUUAGAUAUUACACAGAACACCGAUUGCGAAGGCAUCUCACGAAUCAGACAUUGACGCUGAGGCACGAAAGUGUGGGGAUCAAACAGGAUUAGAUACCCUGGUAGUCCACACUGUAAACGAUGAUAACUAACCGUUGGCGAUAUACAGUCAGUGGCCAAGCGAAAGCGAUAAGUUAUCCACCUGGGGAGUACGUUCGCAAGAAUGAAACUCAAAGGAAUUGACGGGGGCCCGCACAAGCGGAGGAACAUGUGGUUUAAUUCGAUGAUACGCGAGGAACCUUACCCGGGCUCGAACGGCAGGCGAAGGAGGCAGAGAUGCUGACGUCCGCAAGGACGCCUGUCGAGGUGCUGCAUGGUUGUCGUCAGCUCGUGCCGUGAGGUGUCGGCUUAAGUGCCAUAACGAGCGCAACCCUUGUCGUUAGUUGCCAUCAGGUGAUGCUGGGGACUCUAGCGAGACUGCCACCGUAAGGUGUGAGGAAGGGGGGGAUGACGUCAAAUCAGCACGGCCCUUACGUCCGGGGCGACACACGUGUUACAAUGGUGAGUACAGAGGGAGGCUACCUGGUGACAGGAUGCAAAUCUCGAAAACUCAUCUCAGUUCGGACUGGAGUCUGCAACUCGACUCCACGAAGCUGGAUUCGCUAGUAAUCGCGCAUCAGCCAUGGCGCGGUGAAUACGUUCCCGGGCCUUGUACACACCGCCCGUCAAGCCAUGAAAGCCGAAGGGUGCCUGAAGUCCGCGACCGCAAGGAACGGCCUAGGGCAAAAUUGGUAAUUGGGGC